This is a transfer RNA of Prochlorococcus marinus subsp. marinus str. CCMP1375, 87 nucleotides long. It matches the Rfam family "tRNA". From Rfam's summary of the family: Transfer RNA (tRNA) molecules are approximately 80 nucleotides in length. NCBI's taxonomy places the organism in Bacteria, Bacillati, Cyanobacteriota, Cyanophyceae, Synechococcales, Prochlorococcaceae. The record is from Rfam.
GGAGAGUUGGUCGAGUGGUUUAUGGCUCUAGUCUUGAAAACUAGCAAGGGUGCAAGUCCUUCGGGGGUUCGAAUCCCCCACUCUCCG